This 466-nucleotide ribosomal RNA is filed under the name uncultured bacterium. RNAcentral describes it as "partial 16S ribosomal RNA". It matches the Rfam family "Bacterial small subunit ribosomal RNA", at positions 28 to 507 of the family's 1533-position model. The record is from RNAcentral.
GACGAACGCUGGCGGCGUGCUUAACACAUGCAAGUCGAACGGAAAGGCCCUGCUUGCAGGGUACUCGAGUGGCGAACGGGUGAGUAACACGUGGGUGAUCUGCCCUGCACUUCGGGAUAAGCUUGGGAAACUGGGUCUAAUACCGGAUAGGAGCCAUCUUUAGUGUGGUGGUUGGAAAGUUUUUUCGGUGUAGGACGAGCUCGCGGCCUAUCAGCUUGUUGGUGGGGUAAUGGCCUACCAAGGCGGCGACGGGUAGCCGGCCUGAGAGGGUGUACGGCCACAUUGGGACUGAGAUACGGCCCAGACUCCUGCGGGAGGCAGCAGUGGGGAAUAUUGCACAAUGGGCGCAAGCCUGAUGCAGCGACGCCGCGUGGGGGAUGAAGGCCUUCGGGUUGUAAACUCCUUUCGCUAGGGACGAAGCUUUUUUGUGACGGUACCUAGAUAAGAAGCACCGGCUAACUACGUG